AUACUUACUUGGUGCAGGGAGAUUCGGUGAUCACGAUGGCCGGCUCCCCGGGUCGAGGCCUUCCAUUGCACUGCGGUCGGCUGAGACGCGCCACUUCCCCAAAGAGGGGAUGAUGGGGCAUGCAAUUUUUGGUAGUGGGGAUCGGCGUUCGCGCCUUUCCCCG
Molecule: small nuclear RNA, 163 nt
Filed under: Haemaphysalis longicornis (longhorned tick)
Lineage: Eukaryota; Metazoa; Arthropoda; Arachnida; Ixodida; Ixodidae
Description: U1 spliceosomal RNA
Rfam family: U1 spliceosomal RNA
About the family: U1 is a small nuclear RNA (snRNA) component of the spliceosome (involved in pre-mRNA splicing). Its 5' end forms complementary base pairs with the 5' splice junction, thus defining the 5' donor site of an intron.
Source: Rfam by way of RNAcentral